UCGCACCACAUUUUCAUUGCACUCUUCAAGUUUGCUCAUCUUCUCAUGAUGUCCCAAACUUUUUUCUUGGUAUUUUAUGGUCAACUUUUUACAAAUUAGCACAUCUUAUUCUGGUGAUGGUCCAAAAAUUGAUUAGGAGGAAGUAAGAAAAGUUAUUUGCCUCUUGUAUUAUUAAAUAAGCAAGAUAAACAACAAAUAUAAGCCCUUGUUUGAGCCCCAUUUAGGGGGAAGAAAUAUAUUUUGGAAUAGUGUUUUUUGGAGAAUGUGGAGUUAAAAUAUAAGAAAAUGUUUUCGAUUUACGUAUAAAAUUAUUUUAUUCGAGAAUGUGUAAUUGAAAAUGAGUUUUGAAAAAAAUGAGGUUUUGAUAAAAUGAGGCUCCAAAAUAAAAAAGCUAAAGUUAGACAAAAUACUUUUCCCACUUUAUUGGAAUAUAUGGAAACCAUUUUUUAUACAAGACGUGCUAGUUAAUUGAAGACUAAAGGCGAAAAUGCACAAAAAUGUUAGGGAUGUAAAUGCUAAAAUAGAAAAAUUUUGGGACCUAAAUUGUCAAAACGUGGUGCACUUAACUAGUACUAUGAUGUGAAUAUAAUUACCCUUAUCAAAAUAGCUUGCUUUAUACAUAAAAACAGAUAAAUGUCUAUUCCACCCUAUAAAAAAAUAGCCUUCAGAUCAACUUAAUCAAAAUUCAAAGGCAUACUAUAUUCUUCCAUCCUCAUCCCGUCCACUUACUUAACUAACGCAAAAACUCUCCUUAAAUAAUGCAAUUAAUUUCCUUUAUAAUGUGACAACUCUCAUUAAGUAGUAUGCAUCAAUUAAAAAUAGUUAGCUUUAUUGCAUUAAAAAGAGUCUACUGAUUAAAAAUAUGUGUUUUUUUAAUUAAAGUAAAUUUAUGGACAAUGGUGGACGGGUUUGGACAAGAAGUUCUUUUAAAAUGAGGACUAUGACUUUUAAUUUCUUGCAUACUUGACCAUCUCACUCAACUCGACAGGUUGGGUAAGGUGGACAGAUGACCCAACUUUCCAAACUCGCACAACUCCAAGUUGGUCCAGGAGAAGUCCAACUAUUCGAGCUUGCCUAGCUACUAACUAGCACUACUUUGAUUGGAGGAUAUAAUAAAUACAGGAGAAAUUUUUAAUUUCUCCAUUCUAACUAAAAGACUUCUUUGGCGGUGAACUAUAGAGCUAGAUAUUUUUCAUCUUACCUAGCGAAACAAGGUCAUUUAGAAAGGUUCCACAAGAAUCAAACAUUCAUUUUUCAUUCCCAUAAGGGUUCUAAUAUACAAAUUCAUAUUUCAUUCCUAUAAGGUUCCAGUCUACAGCAUUGUACUGUACGAUCAUUGCCGCAGAAAUUCCAUGAAUUAGCUACUUCAAUAUGUAAA
Molecule: long non-coding RNA, 1378 nt
Filed under: Olea europaea (common olive)
Lineage: Eukaryota; Viridiplantae; Streptophyta; Magnoliopsida; Lamiales; Oleaceae
Description: long non-coding RNA (OEUR_LNC014991)
Source: RNAcentral